AAAAAGAAUGAAAUAAUGUCUUUUGCAGCAACUGGGAUGGAACUGGAGGCUAUUAUUCUAAGUGAAGUAAUUCUGGAAUCAAAAUCUAAAUCCAACAUGUUCUCAUUUACAGGUGGUUUCUAAGCUUAUGGAUAUGCAAGGGCAUACAGAGUGGUAUAAUGUACAUUGGAGACUCAGAAGGCUGGCAAGCAGGAGAGAGGGUGAAUGCCUUCAUCCAUUGGAACCUGAACCAUGAGUAUUUCCUUCUGAGACUUUCAUCAAACUAAGUCUGCAUGAAGCCUGAGUCCUGUGGUAACUGGAACCUCAUAAUAGCAUUUACAUUUGGUGUUAAAAUGCACCCAACAGGAAAAAGGAUUCAGUUAUUUUCAAGCUUCCAAAUUCCAAAUGUGCUGAAUAGACAUUUCCUUUAAAAAAUAAAUAUACAAAAUGGAUUUGUGUGACUUGAAGUUUAAAAGAAAUGUUCUUGCAUGCCAUAGUUAAGAAUUGUAACAAUAUCACAUUCUCAAGUUUACUUAUUUUAAAAGUAGACUGUCAUGGUUUGGCUCAGCUACUAAAUUAAAUUAUUGCUGGCUUGAACAUUCCUGUUGGUUACACUGUAAUCUUUACCUCCCUUGGAAAAUAUGUCCGAUUUUGAGUGUUUAUUUCAGACUUGGCUUGAAACACCUCUGUUUAGCAGUGAAGUAUGGAUAUAUAUGUGUGAUCUGUGUUACGUAUGUAGAAAGGAAAGAAAUAGAAAAAAGUUUUACAUUGUGUGUUACAAAUACACACUAACAGGAAUACAUAUAUACAUACAUAUAUGCAACUAGAACCAUGCUUAUCAAGGAUCAAGAUAAUAUAACUAUACUGAAUUAAUAGACAUGCAUACAUACAUACAUGUGUAUCCAUUAACAUGUUAUUACAGGUUGAAUUGUGUCUCCCUUUCCCCCAAAAUCAGAUGUUGACAUUUUCACCUCUGGGAGCUCAUUUGGAGAUAGGGCUUUUGCGGCGGUAAUCAAGUUAAAGCAAGAUCAUUAGGUUGGGUUCUAAUCUAAUAUGACUGGUAUUCUUAUUAACAAGGGG
This 1059-nucleotide long non-coding RNA is filed under the name Homo sapiens (human). Its description in RNAcentral is "HSALNT0358005". The record is from RNAcentral. Lineage: Eukaryota; Metazoa; Chordata; Mammalia; Primates; Hominidae.